UUAAGGGAAGUAUUACAUUUUACAUAUCACUUACAAUGAUGAGAUCCUAAAGGGCCCUUAAU
RNAcentral lists this transfer RNA (62 nucleotides) under Mexistrophia reticulata. Its description in RNAcentral is "tRNA-Val". Lineage: Eukaryota; Metazoa; Mollusca; Gastropoda; Stylommatophora; Cerionidae. The record is from RNAcentral.